Molecule: long non-coding RNA, 232 nt
Filed under: Elaeis guineensis (African oil palm)
Lineage: Eukaryota; Viridiplantae; Streptophyta; Magnoliopsida; Arecales; Arecaceae
Description: long non-coding RNA (EGUI_LNC036272)
Source: RNAcentral
UCCCUAUGGUGCUCUAGCCAUCCUUUGUAGAGCUUGACUUUGUAGUUCUAGUACAACUCAAUCUUAUGCAGUCGGACAUCUCGAGCCCUCUUAUGAUCUGGAAAGUUGUACCUCCUCUAUACAAAAUUAUCAGAAAAAAUAGUUAUAAAAUUAUUCUAACCAAAUAUAGUGUAAACAUAUCACAUGCAUAUAUAUAAUUAAGAUGCACUUAUCCAAAUCUCUUCCCACACUC